This 247-nucleotide ribosomal RNA is filed under the name uncultured bacterium. Its description in RNAcentral is "partial 16S ribosomal RNA". It matches the Rfam family "Bacterial small subunit ribosomal RNA", at positions 526 to 772 of the family's 1533-position model. The record is from RNAcentral.
CGUAGGGAGCGAGCGUUGUCCGGAAUUACUGGGUGUAAAGGGAGUGAAGGCGGGAUGGUAAGUUAGGUGUGAAAUGCGGAGGCUCAACCUCCGAGCUGCACUUAAAACUGCUGUUCUUGAGUGAAGUAGAGGUUGGCGGAAUUCCCAGUGUAGCGGUGAAAUGCGUAGAUAUUGGGAGGAACAUCAGUGGCGAAGGCGGCCAACUGGGCUUUUACUGACGCUGAGGCUCGAAAGCGUGGGGAGCAAA